Non-coding RNA from Pelobates cultripes (western spadefoot toad), 210 nucleotides. The record is from the annotation of a GenBank genome assembly. NCBI's taxonomy places the organism in Eukaryota, Metazoa, Chordata, Amphibia, Anura, Pelobatidae.
CCUGGCACCCAGACCACUUCAUUAAGCUAAAAUGGUCUGGGUGCCUAUAGUGGUCCUUUAAGCCUGAGCAUUAGCCUGAGCAGCAAUGGAUAGCUGUGAUUGACUGAGAAUAUCAGAUGACUGCUUUCAGUCUAUCACAAUGCCAAUUGCUAGUAUGAUUUGGUAUGCUUAGAAGAAAAUGUGUAAUCUCUGCCUUAUCCAUAUUUCCAG